UUNUGAACUGGGUGACUAGAGUGUGUCAGAGGGAGGUAGAAUUCCACGUGUAGCAGUGAAAUGCGUAGAGAUGUGGAGGAAUACCGAUGGCGAAGGCAGCCUCCUGGGAUAACACUGACGUUCAUGCCCGAAAGCGUGGGUAGCAAACAGGAUUAGAUACCCUGGUAGUCCACGCCCUAAACGAUGUCGAUUAGCUGUUGGGCAGCAUGACUGCUUAGUAGCGAAGCUAACGCGUGAAAUCGACCGCCUGGGGAGUACGGUCGCAAGAUUAAAACUCAAAGGAAUUGACGGGGACCCGCACAAGCGGUGGAUGAUGUGGAUUAAUUCGAUGCAACGCGAAGAACCUUACCUGGUCUUGACAUGUACGGAACCCUCCAGAGACGGAGGGGUGCCUUCGGGAGCCGUAACACAGGUGCUGCAUGGCUGUCGUCAGCUCGUGUCGUGAGAUGUUGGGUUAAGUCCCGCAACGAGCGCAACCCUUGUCAUUAGUUGCCAUCAUUAAGUUGGGCACUCUAAUGAGACUGCCGGUGACAAGCCGGAGGAAGGUGGGGAUGACGUCAAGUCCUCAUGGCCCUUAUGACCAGGGCUUCACACGUCAUACAAUGGUCGGUACAGAGGGUAGCCAAGCCGCGAGGUGGAGCCAAUCUCACAAAACCGAUCGUAGUCCGGAUUGCACUCUGCAACUCGAGUGCAUGAAGUCGGAAUCGCUAGUAAUCGCAGGUCAGCAUACUGCGGUGAAUACGUUCCCGGGUCUUGUACACACCGCCCGUCACACCAUGGGAGUGGGGGGUACCAGAAGUAGGUAGGGUAACCGCAAGGAGCCCGCUUACCACGGU
RNAcentral lists this ribosomal RNA (836 nucleotides) under uncultured bacterium. RNAcentral describes it as "bacterial SSU rRNA". It matches the Rfam family "Bacterial small subunit ribosomal RNA", at positions 626 to 1463 of the family's 1533-position model. The record is from RNAcentral.